This 226-nucleotide unclassified non-coding RNA is filed under the name Glomus sp. RNAcentral's name for it is "partial contains 5.8S ribosomal RNA and internal transcribed spacer 2". The stretch from base 1 to 65 matches the Rfam family "5.8S ribosomal RNA", at positions 84 to 154 of the family's 154-position model. Lineage: Eukaryota; Fungi; Glomeromycota; Glomeromycetes; Glomerales; Glomeraceae. The record is from RNAcentral.
GUGAAUCAUCGAAUUUUUGAACGCAAAUUGCACUCUCCUCGGAGAGUAUGCCUGUUUGAGGGUCAGCCUAUAAAAAAUCGACAUCGUUGCUGUUUCGCGGUGGCGUUCGUCGGAAAUUGGGUCAUCUUAAAUCUUUUGGUUUUAAGCGACUUAAAUUUUUCUUUUUGUUCCCUUAAACUUUUCUAAGUUUUAUUCCUUUACCCGUUAAAGUAUCCAUUUUUUUUUA